RNAcentral lists this ribosomal RNA (429 nucleotides) under bacterium. RNAcentral describes it as "partial 16S ribosomal RNA". It matches the Rfam family "Bacterial small subunit ribosomal RNA", at positions 355 to 776 of the family's 1533-position model. The record is from RNAcentral.
UAGGGAAUCUUCGGCAAUGGGGGCAACCCUGACCGAGCAACGCCGCGUGAGUGAAGAAGGUUUUCGGAUCGUAAAGCUCUGUUGUAAGAGAAGAACGUGUGUGAGAGUGGAAAGUUCACACAGUGACGGUAACUUACCAGAAAGGGACGGCUAACUACGUGCCAGCAGCCGCGGUAAUACGUAGGUCCCGAGCGUUGUCCGGAUUUAUUGGGCGUAAAGCGAGCGCAGGCGGUUUAAUAAGUCUGAAGUUAAAGGCAGUGGCUUAACCAUUGUUCGCUUUGGAAACUGUUAAACUUGAGUGCAGGAGGGGAGAGUGGAAUUCCAUGUGUAGCGGUGAAAUGCGUAGAUAUAUGGAGGAACACCGGUGGCGAAAGCGGCUCUCUGGUCUGUAACUGACGCUGAGGCUCGAAAGAGUGGGGAGCAAACAGG